AGUUCCCUGCUUGGUGCGUGACGGGCCCACUUAAACCCACAUUUCUUUUAAGGGAUGUUCGACUUCUCUGCGGGAUUGCAGACCUCCCGCCCCAGCCUCGACUGGCGGUGGACGCUGGGAGCAGUGAACGCAGCGAGCGGCAACCCACCUGCCUUCUUGUGCAGGUUAUAAUUGGGUUCGCACGGCCGAAGCGGGGAAUUU
This 201-nucleotide non-coding RNA is filed under the name Candidatus Avoscillospira avicola. RNAcentral's name for it is "6S RNA". It matches the Rfam family "6S / SsrS RNA". From Rfam's summary of the family: E. coli 6S RNA was the first non coding RNA to be sequenced, but its function was unknown until recently. It consists of 184 nucleotides that fold into an extended hairpin structure with a large single-stranded internal bulge. The 6S RNA specifically associates with RNA polymerase holoenzyme containing the sigma70 specificity factor. Lineage: Bacteria; Bacillati; Bacillota; Clostridia; Eubacteriales; Oscillospiraceae. The record is from RNAcentral.